GUUUCCGUAGUGUAGCGGUUAUCACGUUCGCCUCACACGCGAAAGGGCCCCGGUUCGAUCCCGGGCGGAAACA
Molecule: non-coding RNA, 73 nt
Organism: Acanthisitta chloris (rifleman)
Lineage: Eukaryota; Metazoa; Chordata; Aves; Passeriformes; Acanthisittidae
Source: the annotation of a RefSeq genome assembly